GACGAACGCUGGCGGCGUGCUUAACACAUGCAAGUCGAACGGAAAGGCCCUGCUUUUGUGGGGUGCUCGAGUGGCGAACGGGUGAGUAACACGUGAGUAACCUGCCCUUGACUUUGGGAUAACUUCAGGAAACUGGGGCUAAUACCGGAUUGGAGCUCCUGCUGCAUGGUGGGGGUUGGAAAGUUUCGGCGGUUGGGGAUGGACUCGCGGCUUAUCAACUUGUUGGUGGGGUAGUGGCUUACCAAGGCUUUGACGGGUAGCCGGCCUGAGAGGGUGACCGGCCACAUUGGGACUGAGAUACGGCCCAGACUCCUACGGGAGGCAGCAGUGGGGAAUAUUGCACAAUGGGCGGAAGCCUGAUGCAGCAACGCCGCGUGCGGGAUGACGGCCUUCGGGUUGUAAACCGCUUUCGCCUGUGACGAAGCGUGAGUGACGGUAAUGGGUAAAGAAGCACCGGCUAACUACGUG
RNAcentral lists this ribosomal RNA (468 nucleotides) under uncultured bacterium. RNAcentral describes it as "partial 16S ribosomal RNA". It matches the Rfam family "Bacterial small subunit ribosomal RNA", at positions 28 to 507 of the family's 1533-position model. The record is from RNAcentral.